RNAcentral lists this ribosomal RNA (254 nucleotides) under uncultured bacterium. Its description in RNAcentral is "partial 16S ribosomal RNA". It matches the Rfam family "Bacterial small subunit ribosomal RNA", at positions 524 to 776 of the family's 1533-position model. The record is from RNAcentral.
UACGUAGGGGGCAAGCGUUGUCCGGAAUCAUUGGGCGUAAAGAGCGUGUAGGCGGCUCGGUAAGUCCGCUGUGAAAGUCCAGGGCUCAACCCUGGAAUGCCGGUGGAAACUGUCGAGCUCGAGUCCGGAAGAGGCGAGUGGAAUUCCUGGUGUAGCGGUGAAAUGCGCAGAUAUCAGGAGGAACACCAAUGGCGAAGGCAGCUCGCUGGGACGGUAGCUGACGCUGAGACGCGAAAGCGUGGGGAGCAAACAGG